Oncorhynchus tshawytscha (Chinook salmon) is the source of this 372-nucleotide long non-coding RNA. RefSeq lists it as uncharacterized. The transcript is spliced from 2 exons. Lineage: Eukaryota; Metazoa; Chordata; Actinopteri; Salmoniformes; Salmonidae. The record is from RefSeq and is a predicted model, not a curated record.
CCUUGAGGUCAACGUGUGAAUUUUCACCCCCACCCCUUGAGGUCAACGUGUGAAUUUUCACCCCCCCCUUGAGGUCAACGUGUGAAUUUUCACCCCCCCCCUUGAGGUCAACGUGUGAAUUUUCACCCCCACCCCUUGAGGUCAACGUGUGAAUUUUCACCCCCCGCAAAUGUAUAUAUGAACUUUAACCCCUGAGGUCAACGUAUAUAUGAACUUUAACCCCUGAGGUCAACGUAUAUGAACUGGUGACUGGGUGGAGGAACUUUCUCAGAAGAGGAAGAGACGGUGUUUAUUUGGGAGUGAAAGACUCAAGGGACUUGUUUCUGUAGACUAAAGAUGUCUGUUAUUAUACAACUGUCUGGAGUCCUUUAG